Molecule: ribosomal RNA, 396 nt
Filed under: uncultured bacterium
Lineage: Bacteria
Description: bacterial SSU rRNA
Rfam family: Bacterial small subunit ribosomal RNA
Source: RNAcentral
AUAUUGCACAAUGGGCGAAAGCCUGAUGCAGCAACGCCGCGUGAGUGAUGAAGGCCUUCGGGUUGUAAAGCUCUGUCUUCUGGGACGAUAAUGACGGUACCAGAGGAGGAAGCCACGGCUAACUACGUGCCAGCAGCCGCGGUAAUACGUAGGUGGCAAGCGUUGUCCGGAUUUACUGGGCGUAAAGGAUGCGUAGGCGGAUACUUAAGUCAGAUGUGAAAAUCCCGGGCUUAACUUGGGAACUGCAUUUGAAACUGGGUAUCUAGAGUGCGGGAGAGGAAAGUGGAAUUCCUAGUGUAGCGGUGAAAUGCGUAGAGAUUAGGAAGAACACCAGUGGCGAAGGCGACUUUCUGGACCGUAACUGACGCUGAGGCAUGAAAGCGUGGGGAGCAAACA